This 650-nucleotide ribosomal RNA is filed under the name Salmonella enterica. RNAcentral's name for it is "partial 23S ribosomal RNA". It matches the Rfam family "Bacterial large subunit ribosomal RNA", at positions 542 to 1191 of the family's 2925-position model. Lineage: Bacteria; Pseudomonadati; Pseudomonadota; Gammaproteobacteria; Enterobacterales; Enterobacteriaceae. The record is from RNAcentral.
AAAAGAACCUGAAACCGUGUACGUACAAGCAGUGGGAGCACAGGUUUACCUGUGUGACUGCGUACCUUUUGUAUAAUGGGUCAGCGACUUAUAUUCUGUAGCAAGGUUAACCGAAUAGGGGAGCCGGAGGGAAACCGAGUCUUAAUUGGGCGUUAAGUUGCAGGGUAUAGACCCGAAACCCGGUGAUCUAGCCAUGGGCAGGUUGAAGGUUGGGUAACACUAACUGGAGGACCGAACCGACUAAUGUUGAAAAAUUAGCGGAUGACCUGUGGCUGGGGGUGAAAGGCCAAUCAAACCGGGAGAUAGCUGGUUCUCCCCGAAAGCUAUUUAGGUAGCGCCUCGUGAAUUCAUCUCCGGGGGUAGAGCACUGUUUCGGCUAGGGGGCCAUCCCGGCUUACCAACCCGAUGCAAACUGCGAAUACCGGAGAAUGUUAUCACGGGAGACACACGGCGGGUGCUAACGUCCGUCGUGAAGAGGGAAACAACCCAGACCGCCAGCUAAGGUCCCAAAGUCAUGGUUAAGUGGGAAACGAUGUGGGAAGGCCCAGACAGCCAGGAUGUUGGCUUAGAAGCAGCCAUCAUUUAAAGAAAGCGUAAUAGCUCACUGGUCGAGUCGGCCUGCGCGGAAGAUGUAACGGGGCUAAACCAUG